Molecule: non-coding RNA, 30 nt
Filed under: Homo sapiens (human)
Lineage: Eukaryota; Metazoa; Chordata; Mammalia; Primates; Hominidae
Source: RNAcentral
AGGGUGAAUCUUCUAAGUGAUUGACAAGGA